AAUCAACGCUGGCGGCGUGCCUAACACAUGCAAGUCGCACGAGAAAGGGGAGCAAUCCCUGAGUAAAGUGGCGCACGGGUGAGUAACACGUGAAUCAUCUACCUCCGAGUGGGGAAUAACUGAGAGAAAUCUUAGCUAAUACCGCAUAACACUUACGAGUCAAAGCAGCAAUGCGCUUGGAGAGGAGUUCGCGGCCGAUUAGUUAGUUGGCGGGGUAANGGCCCACCAAGACGAUGAUCGGUAUCCGGCCUGAGAGGGCGCACGGACACACUGGAACUGAAACACGGUCCAGACUCCUACGGGAGGCAGCAGUGGGGAAUUUUGCGCAAUGGGGGAAACCCUGACGCAGCAACGCCGCGUGGAGGAUGAAGUAUCUUGGUACGUAAACUCCUUUCGAUUGGGAAGAUAAUGACGGUACCAAUAGAAGAAGCCCCGGCUAACUUCGUGCCAGCCGCCGCGGUAAG
RNAcentral lists this ribosomal RNA (464 nucleotides) under uncultured bacterium. RNAcentral describes it as "bacterial SSU rRNA". It matches the Rfam family "Bacterial small subunit ribosomal RNA", at positions 32 to 524 of the family's 1533-position model. The record is from RNAcentral.